GGGCCUGUAGCUCAGUUGGUUAGAGCGCAUCCCUGAUAAGGAUGAGGUCCGUGGUUCGACUCCACGCAGGCCCA
This 74-nucleotide transfer RNA is filed under the name Thermoleophilia bacterium. Its description in RNAcentral is "tRNA-Ile". It matches the Rfam family "tRNA". From Rfam's summary of the family: Transfer RNA (tRNA) molecules are approximately 80 nucleotides in length. Their secondary structure includes four short double-helical elements and three loops (D, anti-codon, and T loops). The record is from RNAcentral. RNAcentral also lists the same sequence under 1 other name. Lineage: Bacteria; Bacillati; Actinomycetota; Thermoleophilia.